This 1876-nucleotide ribosomal RNA is filed under the name Triticum aestivum (bread wheat). Its description in RNAcentral is "partial small subunit ribosomal RNA". The record is from RNAcentral. Lineage: Eukaryota; Viridiplantae; Streptophyta; Magnoliopsida; Poales; Poaceae.
CCCGCAAAACUCUACUUCGUCUCGCUGUUUGCUCUUUGGCUCUUUCCCCGCCCUUGCCUAUUCUAUCGUUUUACGACAUGGAGGGUAAGAAGGUAAAAGGGGGAAACGACGAGCGAGAGUACCGGUGGCGGCGGAAGGAAGGGGGGCGGGGUUAGAAAGCGGGAGCGUGGGGGUGGCGAGCGGUGGCACCGAAUGGGUAGACGCGGCGGCGGAGGCUGCGCGGCGGCGGUCUACGGCUCUGCCUGCUCCCUCUCCGGGGUGCGCCGCCGGCCUUCCUGGCGGCGGCGCACCACGCCUAGCGCACCCUCUUCGAGCAGGCCACCAGAGCGAGGACCGCGUCGGCGUUGGCGUCGCUGCAGGAGCUCUGGUGCGCGUUCCACCACCAGGAGCCUCCCCCGAGCAAGCCUUGCCGCUACCGCCGCGUCCACCGUCGGUUCUUCGGGCUGGAACUCCACCGGUACGACGAGGCCCUACUGGAGCAGACGGCGAGGUAGUUGCUGGCGGUACAGUUGAGGUUUAUGAACAGUCUUAUGUCGAACGGUCUUUUAUAACAACGUUGUUGAUCACGAUCACUUCGAAAUCGUCCUCGAUUAAAGACGAAGGUGCGACAGGGACAAGUCAAGUAGGAAAGAACUCUCAUAAAGUUGUAUACAACUAGGUUUCAACGGUAAGUAUAGUGAAUCGUUUCCCGACCUUGAAUUGUGGGAAGCCUGUUACAGAGUUUAGUAAGGAGAACGUGACCCUUUAGGAGCGGUUGGUAAAUAACAAGACAGUCCUGGAAGAAAACGUCAUCUUGACUACCUCUUUGAUGGUUGUCGAUACCACCACCGUAGGUUUCUGUCUUUCGACCGUUCACGACAAGUUGUCGAGAAUCGUAGAAGUUUAAACUCCUAUUCGUGUAGUUCCCCAUCUUUAACGUCCGCGUGAAUUCUUACAAGAACGUUAUCGUCGUCCAUAUCAACUUCCAUACGUAGAACCUUUAUUAACAUACCGACGGGAACAACGAGUUCCGACAAGACUUUAAGCCACCAACCGCUGUUUCUACCCUCGUUUCGGUUGUUGGGAAAGACCAAAUAGACCGAGUCCACUAUAGUACGAAUGUACAAAACAUUUAGAAAGUGCCUUGUCUUUACACCCUAACGCAGAACCAAGUCCGCUCUUUGAACUACUCUAGAACUUAAGUUACUUAGUCCAACGACUUCCACACAGUUGACGACCGCGACAGUAACGUAAUCGAGUCUUCAUGUUGCAGUUUGACGGUCAGGACUGUCGUCAACGUGCUUAUUAACUAUUACUUGAUUGAGGCUUCUCUCGACAAUACCUCAAUUACUUAGAAGGUGUCCACCUCCUUCAGAUUGUCCUUGGUUGGGUUUUCUUACCUCGGUGACUUGGACAAUACGGUAUGAAUUUUAUCGACAUACGAGGUAUACAAACAGAGGGUAGAGGCGAGUUGAUAUAAAAGAGAGCAGUUAGGUAGCUUAGUACUACUAACGAAACUCUCUAUAGUGGCUAAAACGUGAGGAUACUUCUCAAAUACGAAAAUCCGUGUAAGCACACGUGUUUACGUCUGUCCUAUAUGUAAUAUCCCUGGGCUUUAACUUACCCUUGUUACGAGGUACAAACCAAUAGGUUUUGUUCUAAUGCCAACAUCCAAAGUAGUGAAAAUCUUACUCAACCACUUCCUUAUGUACAAUCAAGAAUAAAAGAAGACAUACUUUACCGGACCAAGUAUAAGUACUGUUCUGAACUCAAAUAAAAAAACAACUUUUAAAAGGAACAAAAAAAUCUUCUUUACAGGAGCAACAAUAUUCUUUUAUCACAUAUAUGAUGGAAUUUUUCUACUUUUACAAAGUAGAACACAUUUAAAAGAAAGCGG